This is a long non-coding RNA of Chelonia mydas (Green sea turtle), 1406 nucleotides long. RefSeq lists it as uncharacterized. NCBI's taxonomy places the organism in Eukaryota, Metazoa, Chordata, Testudines, Cheloniidae. The record is from RefSeq and is a predicted model, not a curated record. The transcript has 2 exons.
UCCUAGGAUGGUUGAGAGACUUAAUGGAUAUUGAUUCCAUUGCUGUGAGAUGCCUGAAUGAAAGAGAAAAUGGAAGGUUUCAAACUCAUUUGUAUUAAAGACCUGUGUGUGUCUCUGUCCCUCUCUGUCUGUUUCUCUGCCACAAUUAAAACACAGUCAUGUGAAUUAAGAGUGGGGAUGUUGUUAUAAAUAUCACAACAUAAAAUCUCACUGAUUUUAUCUUUUCUCCCUGUAGACACUCUGCCAGUUGAACUGGAGGAAAAAAAAGAGAAUACUCUAGGAUCACACAGAUAGGUGAAUGUGACUCUGGAUCCAGACACGGCUCAUCCCCAACUCCUCCUCUCUGAGGGUCAGAAAAGUGUCAGACGGGGAGACAAAUGGCACAGACUGCCCAACAAUCCCAAGAGAUUUGAUACCCUGGAGUGCGUACCGGGCUGUGAGGGAUUCACAUCUGGGAGAUACUACUGGGAGGUGCAGGUGGGAGGUGAAAUAAUCUGGGCUGUGGGGGUUGCCAGAGAGUCUGUGAGGAGGAAGGGAUUGUUCUGCUUUAACCCUGAGUGGGGGAUCUGGGCUAUGGAGCAGUGGUGGGGUGAGUUCCAGGCUCUCACCUCCCCUAAAACUCCUCUGCCCCUGAGCUGGGUCCCCAGGAGGAUCCGGGUUUGUCUGGACAAUGAACAGGGGCUGGUGACAUUUCUGGAUGCUGAUAAUGAUGCCCCAAUCUUCACUUUCCCACCGGCUUCCUUCAGUGGGGAGAGAAUCCACCCCUGGCUUUGGGUUCAGAGUGAACAAUCACAGCUCAGACUGUGUCCCUGACACUUGGGGAAAACAUCCCUUCUAAAGACCCUGAAAUCAACUUCUCUAGCCUCAGACACCCUAAUUUCUAUGACCCUGGAGAACGCUUGUCUUCCUGAAAGCCUUCUACCAUACAAUCAGUUUGUAUGACCCAUAAGGCUUGAUGGGGCCUCUGAAUUGUUAAAGUAUAAAGACCAAGAUGCUACUGAAAUGGAGAAACCAACCGCAUUGCUCCAAGAAUUGUGCAACCUGUUUGUCACUGGCCUGUGUGAUCCUUGAGGAGUGUAGCUGACUGUAGGGGUCAGAGACUGUCAGAUAGGAGCUCAGAGAGUGGGAGAAUGAAAGUGAAAGAAAGUGACAAGGAGAUACAUGAGCCAGGGUGACAGACGGACUGGGAGAUGCUACUGAACGUGAUGGUGUCAUUCAUUACGUAAUCCAUCUAUUUAAUUCACUGGUUCAUGAAAAGUGGAGCCAUUUUAAUGCCUUGAAAAAGUGAUUUCUGCAAAUGUUCCACUUUUUCUCUGUUCUGACCUUACAUAAUCACUCCCUAAGUGAUUGAAGCCCUCAUUUUUUUGUUAACUGAACAUUUUUAAUAAAUAUAAAGCUUUUUUCUG